UCCUGGUUAACCCAGGCAGUCUCAUUAGAGUUCCCACCCUAAGUGUUGGCAACUAAUGAUAAGGGUUGCGCUCGUUGCUGGACUUAACCAAACACCUCACGGCACGAGCUGACGACAGCCAUGCAGCACCUGUGCAGAUGCCCCGAAGGGAAGUUACAUCUCUGUAACGAUCAUCUGCAUGUCAAGCCUGGGUAAGGUUCUUCGCGUUGCAUCGAAUUAAACCACAUGCUCCACUGCUUGUGCGGGUCCCCGUCAAUUCUUUUGAGUUUCACCCUUGCGAGCGUACUCCUCAGGCGGUAUACUUAUCGCGUUAGCUUCGGCACAACCAGGGUUGAUUCCGGUUACACCAAGUAUACAUCGUUUACGGCAAGGACUAC
RNAcentral lists this unclassified non-coding RNA (377 nucleotides) under uncultured Parachlamydiaceae bacterium. RNAcentral describes it as "contains 16S-23S intergenic spacer region". The record is from RNAcentral. Lineage: Bacteria; Pseudomonadati; Chlamydiota; Chlamydiia; Parachlamydiales; Parachlamydiaceae.